GACGAACGCUGGCGGCGUGCCUAAUACAUGCAAGUAGAACGCUGAAGGAGGAGCUUGCUUCUCUGGAUGAGUUGCGAACGGGUGAGUAACGCGUAGGUAACCUGCCUGGUAGCGGGGGAUAACUAUUGGAAACGAUAGCUAAUACCGCAUAAGAGUAGAUGUUGCAUGACAUUUGCUUAAAAGGUGCAAUUGCAUCACUACCAGAUGGACCUGCGUUGUAUUAGCUAGUUGGUGGGGUAACGGCUCACCAAGGCGACGAUACAUAGCCGACCUGAGAGGGUGAUCGGCCACACUGGGACUGAGACACGGCCCAGACUCCUACGGGAGGCAGCAGUAGGGAAUCUUCGGCAAUGGACGGAAGUCUGACCGAGCAACGCCGCGUGAGUGAAGAAGGUUUUCGGAUCGUAAAGCUCUGUUGUAAGAGAAGAACGCGUGUGAGAGUGGAAAGUUCACACUGUGACGGUAUCUUACCAGAAAGGGACGGCUAACUACGUG
This 495-nucleotide ribosomal RNA is filed under the name uncultured bacterium. RNAcentral describes it as "partial 16S ribosomal RNA". It matches the Rfam family "Bacterial small subunit ribosomal RNA", at positions 28 to 507 of the family's 1533-position model. The record is from RNAcentral.